AAAAAAGGAUUAGUCAUUAUAUCCCAAUAACGAGAAACUUUCUAAGAACAGAAAACUUAGUGAAAUCUCAAACCCCGCUGCCAAUUUUAAAAUCUGAAAAUGAGGAAGUUUCUCGAGCUUCAACUACAGGCAUUGAGUCUUUCUCGUCCAGCCCAAAGAAGGAGCAAUUUUGAAAUGCAUCCAAGCUGCUGGCUAUCAAACGGUUCAAACCACUUAGGCUAUCAUUCAGAAUAAACUCUUCACUAUGGUAUUUGGACGAGGGUAUAUCGAGAUCCAAUGGUCCUAAAGAUUCAGGCCAAUAGAUAUCUGUUAGCCCAGUGAAAUCUUU
This 328-nucleotide unclassified non-coding RNA is filed under the name Hevea brasiliensis (rubber tree). Lineage: Eukaryota; Viridiplantae; Streptophyta; Magnoliopsida; Malpighiales; Euphorbiaceae. The record is from RNAcentral.